This 180-nucleotide ribosomal RNA is filed under the name Triticum aestivum (bread wheat). RNAcentral describes it as "partial small subunit ribosomal RNA". Lineage: Eukaryota; Viridiplantae; Streptophyta; Magnoliopsida; Poales; Poaceae. The record is from RNAcentral.
AUGUUCUGCUCCUUGCGGCGGUUGCCCGCGCAGACGAGCGUGACGGGGAGCUCCGCGGCGGGGAACUCCCGGACCAGCUCGUCCAUGGUGAACCGCGCGGGCCGGGUGACGAGGCCGGAGACCUCGACGGUCCAGGUGGACCAGUCGCCGCGGGGCACGGGGCCGUGGUUCCGCACGUAG